CGGCCGACAGGGACAGUUCCGAUACCACCAAUCUUGUACACGUCCUGAAGUGGGAGACGGAGGGGCUUGUCAGAUGGUCUCUUGGGCUCAUUAAUCUGGUCGAGGGCCUCGAGCAAUGUUGGACCCUUGUACCAGUCAAGGUUGGUAGACCUCUCAAUCAUGUUGUCUCCCUCGAAUCCGGAGAUGGGGACAAAUGGAAUCUUGUCAGGGUUAUAUCCCACCUUCUUCAGGUAAGAAGAGACUUCCUUAACAAUUUCAUCAUACCUAGCCUUGGAGUACUUGGGGGUGGUGGCAUCCAUCUGUCACAAUAGAUGCCAAAGUUAGGUCGUCAAUCAACACACCCAGAUGAAGCCAUCAACAGCAGUGUGGAACAUUAAAUAUUACCUUGUUACAGCAGCAAAUCAUUUGCCUGACACCAAGGGUGAAAGCAAGGAGAGCAUGUUCACGGGUCUGGCCAUCCUUGGAAAUACCAGCUUCGAAACCACCAGUGGUGGAAUCAAUGAUAAGGACAGCACAGUCGGCCUGGGAGGUUCCAGUAAUCAUAUUCUUAAUAAAGUCACGAUGUCCAGGAGCAUCAAUGACAGUGCAGUAGUACUUGGUGGUCUCGAACUUCCACAAGGCAAUAUCAAUGGUAAUACCGCGCUCGCGCUCGGCCUUGAGCUUGUCAAGCACCCAAGCAUACUUGAACGAUCUCUUGUUCAUCUCAGCAGCUUCCUUCUCGAAUCUCUCAAUCACACGCUUGUCGAUUCCUCCGAGCUUGUAUAUCAAGUGGCCAGUAGUGGUUGACUUCCCAGAAUCGACAUGGCCAAUGACCACAAUGCUGAUGUGAAUCUUCUCCUUACCCAUUUUGAUGUACGAGGCUUAAACUGUCCAAUGAAAAAAGAGAAAAUUAUUAGACGUUAGGAUAAGGAUUUAAAGCAUCUUGAAAAAGCAAAAGUAACUGUGAGAACAAGAAAACUCAUAUUAAUAACAACAUCGAUCUAACAUUUCCACAUUGUCAAUCGCAGCAUAUUUUUAACACCGUGUCUCCCAACAAGAAAUUUCACAUAAGAUUCCAAUCACAAGAAAUCAUACAUAAAAUUCUAAUAAAAUUCAGUCAGACAACCAAUUUGAGACAUGUUCCAAUCUCGGUCGAGUAAGACAACGGACCACUUUUUCGAAACACACAUCCGAAACACGCAAUCCAGGCUUCUCAAGAUUCAAAGCAAACAUAAGAAAAAGGACAAAAGCUAAAAUCAUGAGAUAUUAAAAAAAAAAAAAAAAAACCCAAUCUCACACCCACGCAUGAGUGCGGUGGAAGGAGAUCAAAUCAGACCAGGACCAUCGAACCAAUCAUACAAAAACGCCGCCUUCCCAGGCUCCUCCAGUCGUAACCUUAUCUUAGAUACCAGACUCCGCCGCGACAGCCACAAAACGGCCAAGCUAAAAACCACCCACGACAGCAAAUCCACCACCCAUUCUCCUCAACAGACUCGAGGGAGAAAGCUACCCAGCCGAGUUCCGAACAAUCUCGAGCUCAGAAAACACAAAGCAAACAAAACAAAACAAGCAAGCAACGCAAGCACGAACAACCGAUGAUCGAACAACAAGGUCAGCGAUCAAGAACAAGAACGAGAGGAGAUUGAAGGGUCACCUCGGCAGAUCUCGCAGCUGGCCGCGAGAGGGAGAGAGAGGUGACGAGCAGCAGCAGCAGAAGGGAAGGGCAGGGCAGGAUUAGGGUUUGAGAGUGAGGAACGCAGCCUUACACGAGGCUUUAUAUAGCACCCCUCGCUAAUGCCAUUUUUCGUUUCCCAGGAGUGUCCUCAUCUCGCGCUCAUAAUUUCGACAUUGGCCUCUUCAAGCUUCUUUUUUUUUUUUUUUUCCAUUUUUAUUCUUGCUUUCCUUGAUAAUUACCGAGUGGCCAUGCUAUUUCCAUCCCUCAAUUAUUAAAUACACCCUUAUUUACACUAGAGGAACAAAAUUGCCCUCAAUCUUUCGAUUGCAAUUUAAAUAAUGGCCCAUUUCCUCUCUUUUUUUCUAAUUUUUUUCUAUUUAUGAUAUUGCCAUAAUUAAGCUUUUCACAUGUUUUGUUUGUUAGCGUAUCAAAGAAAAUUGCAUUAUCGGAUAAAAGAAAGAUAGUGCCUCUAAUAUACAUAGAAAAUAUAAAAUUAACUAAAAUUAAACAUAUAAAUUCUUAACUAUGGUAAGUAAAUCUUAUGUAGAUAUAAAAACUAAAAAAAAAAAAAAGUAAAUAAAUUUGGGACUACUAAUGUAAGAUAGAUGCAACUUUGUAUUUUUGGAAGAGUUAGGUGAAUUUAGUUAUAUAAGGAAUGGAAAGAGCGUUGCCCUUACCAUAUACACUCUCAAUUUGUUUUUGUCUACCAUAGUACAUUUACUAUUUUUUAAAAGUUUCAGUCCGUACCAUGAUUAUUUAUUUUAUAAAUCUUCAAUCAUGAUCAUAUUUCUAUUUUUCUUCCAAAUUUUAGCCAUCACUUUUCCAAUCUCCCACACUCCCACAUCGUGUUUUGUUUACUUAAAAAUGGAAAAAUCACACUAAUAGUUCUUUAACUUUGACCGAGUGCACAACGUCAUUCUUAAAUUUUUUGUUCUUCUUUUGUUUGAAUGCGCAAGAGAGAGAGUCACAAGUCUCUAAACUAUCAUGAUAGAUACAAUAUGGUCUUUAAAUAUAGCUAAAUGUGCAACCUAAAUUCUUAAACUUUCAAUUUGCCUGAUUUAGUCACUCGAUAUUCCAUAACUAGGUCAAAUCAUUCCUUCUAUCACUAUUGUUGAUUUCGUAAUAUUAUUUCAUUUCAAUCCAUUUCCUCAAUAACAAAAAAAGUGGCUAUCUUUCUAUUUACUUUUUUAUCUUAUUGAUAUUAUAUAUAUUACGAUAGUUCUACUUAAUUAUACCUUAGCUUAUUAUCUCUAUGAUAGUAAAAGUAGAAUCCCAUUGAGAGCAAUAUCAGUUUGAUAUUUUUUCUUCUAUUUAAUUUUAAGUAUUUUCAUAAUACUAUCUGAAAUAUAUAUAUAUAUAUAUAUAUAUAUAUAUAUAUUUGUAUAACUCUCUAUAGAUACUUGUACUUACAUUAAUCUAAAUCUCAUUCCUAUCGUUUAAUAAACUUAUCAAGUUUUUACGUUUCUCGUAUUCUUCAUUAAAUUCAGUUAAAUUCAUUGUUUGCAUGGACUGAUGUCUUUUUUUUUUUUUUUUCAAGAUUGUGUGGGCUUCGACUUCCUAGUGAAUGGAAAUCAUUACUUAACUUAAUUACUUAAAUCAAAGUCCAAAAAAAAAAUUGACCCAAAGUGCAACCAACAAACAAUUUCCAUUUGAUGUAAUUUUAAUUCCAUCCGACGAUUGCUCACCCAAUUUGAUGACGUGCUACGCUGUAAAGUCAAUAUGGCAUUUUUUAAUAUUUUUUUUACGUACGUAGAGUUGAGUCAUCGACACGCUGCCAAACGGGUGCUGCAUUAGAAAGUAGGCCAAACGGAGAUAUUUAUGAUAUACUACUAAAAUUUACAUUCGAGAUUUCAAAUAAUGAAUCAAGAUAUAUUUUAGGCUGGUGAUUGCAUUUUAAAGCUAAAACAUCAGUACAAGUUAAAAAAAAUUCCACUUUAGUUGUCCCACGUAAAGAUUACGUUAAUUAAAUUCGGCUAAAUGGGUAUUCUUUUUCUGAUUCGUUAACUUAUUUUGAACAUCUACAAUAUGGUGAUUUCCUUUACGGUCCUCCUUUUCCAAGCCUGCUCAUGGUGUCAAGUUCUCAACAAAACGUAUCCCGUGCUCUUUGAUUGAGAAUUUACACUAGCACUCUACCUAAGGUGACAAAUGGCAAACAUGGCAUCCAAAUAUACCGUAUUUCUUGCUCAUUUUGGUCCCACUCGUGCCUCGUUUUUAUCUUUCCAGUUGGCAAUAAAAGGUCGUCGUGCUUCCAAAUAUCAAAUCCAGUAGUCUACGCUCGCGGUGGCUGUCACAGGUAGGAGUGUCCAAAAACUCAACCCGAACGCGAUAUUUUAGGUCUUAAUAUUAUUUAGGUAACAAUUACAAAACAAGCAAACAACCAUGUUUUGAGUCGGGUUGAGGUCGAAACAUUGUUCGGCUGGUGAACACAUUAUUAAUCUUAAACAAUGAAACAAACACGUUCUCUCAUCUCACCAAAAUACAAAACAUCCACACCCAAAGCCAAACACAUUGGUUCCGGACGACUCUUCCUUCUUGCCUUCUCCUCUUGUCGACUCCACCACCAUCAGCUACUACGCCUUCUCCGCUCAUACACUCCGCCGCUGCUGCCAGCGUCGACUCUGCUGCCACUGUCGGCGUCGAUUCUGCCACCACCCUCUUCUUUGCUCUUGCAUUCUAGGUUUCGCUUCGCGGUAAAAUCACCGCCCGUCACUCCUAUUUUGAGCCAUCUUCGUCCCCAAUUUGCAACCCAGGAAUCAAGCUUUGCCGGUUCAUCGUCUUGCCUUACAAUCGUUAUUACUAGCACAGGCCUCUCUUUCCUUUUUUUUUUUUUUUUUUUUUUUGUUUCCUUCUAGUUUUUCGUUUUCUCGUCGCCCUUCGACCUAAUUAUCGGGCUUUCGCUGGAAAACUUAGAGCUUGCUCUUUUUUUCUAUCCAAUGCUUGUGAAGAAAGAGCGACAUUGAAUCUCGAGAUGCUUUGCUUGGAGCUCCGCGUGUUCUUCACAAGUGAUCAUUCCGUGUUUGUUUUUUUAUGUGGUUUCUGGGAGAAUGGCUGUUGGCCCAUCACUCCUUUCCCCUCUCUUUCUCCUCUCUGUUUGCUAAUCUUGCUUUUCUUUUCUUUGCUACUUCAAUUUUUAUAAGUCUUUGGUGAUGAUUUUUCCUCUGCGAAAAAAUCAAAUCAAAACAGGGUUAGAGAAGUCGUACCUUCCACAUUGGGGCCUUUUGGAAUGAGAACUUAUUAUACUGUCUGAACUUUAUCGAAAGUGCGUGCAUUUGCUGUCAAUGUUGUUGUUCCCUUCUAAUAAAGUGUGAUCCUAACGCUUCAAAAGGGUCAUUAUGUCCCAACUUUGAAUAGGGUACAUUUACAGAGAAUGGAAAUAGAAUGAUUAAAUUGUGGGACUAGUGCCAAAUGUCACUUGUGGAAGUAAGGGCUCAUGAUAAGAAAAGGGUUGGAUCUUGUUUGCUGUAUAUGUACUUCUAACUUGAAAGAAGAUUUGAAAACAUCAGGGAAGCGGGAGCUGAACUUCGAGCUCAAACGUUACCUAGUGAUCAUUUUCACAGCUGAAUUUUAAUCUCAUCUUGUUUGACCUUUUUAUCUCAUUUUACUAUGGAACUGUGUCAGUAAAUAAGCUUAACCUUUUCCAGAUGGAGCUUCUUUAUGAAUGCUUUGGUAGAGCUGAAUGAGGGAUGGCUUCAUAACGUUAGAAAGGAAAAUUGGAACGAUUCUUCUAUUUUUUUUGUUUUUUGAUUUUUUAAUAAAUUGUUGACUGUCCCUUUAGAUAAUAAACAAAUAAAUCCAGUUCCUAGGCAUGUUAUGUAUAGUUCUAUGCUUCAAAAUUUAAUCGAACUGUUCUCUUAAAACUAGCAGAGGAACUCAAUAGGAAAUUCGUUGGGCGAUAAAGAAGAGGUGAGAGCGGAAAAAGAAGAGGGGAAAAAAAUGUAGACCCAGAACCCAACCUGGACCGGACCGAAUUAUUGCUUCAGGUAUUAUGCAUUUUGGGUCGGGUCAGGUAACGCCAAAACCCGACCUGACCCAUUGACGACCCUAAUCACAGACACACACAUAAUAAACACUAAAUAUCAGUAAAAGCAUGCAAAUCCAUAUAAUAGAGCGCAGGAGCUCACCACUCUCCUGCACGGCACUUCAACAGAAUAUCUAUACCAAUAUCCAGAAAACAAAGCAGACUCAGAAACACACCUGUUUGGCCCCGAAAGACACAGAAUACAAGUAAAAGAAAGACUCAAAACAGACUCAUAGAAGUAAAAAAGCGCCGCCACCGCCUGUCAAGCACCCAGUUCUGCAACCAGCAACUCGAUGAGGAUAGGAACGCGAGGCCACAACCAGCAAACCAUUUGCCCACCCGACCAACAUGGACAUAGCCAACAACUGCCAAAGAUUUAUUACUCCACCUGAGGAGACGAUGCUCAAAUGUUGAAGUGCCGACAAUGAACCACGCAAUUCACUUGCCACCCUUCUUGGCAGCAGACUUUGUGACCUUGGCACCACUAGGAUCCUUCUUCUCCACAUUCUUGAUGACGCCGACGGCGACGGUCUGACGCAUGUCCCUCACGGCAAAACGACCGAGGGGAGGAUACUCAGAGAAAGUCUCAACGACCAUGGGCUUGGUGGGGAUCAUCUUCACCAUCCCAGAGUCACCAUUCUUCAAGAACUUGGGUUCCUUCUCAAGCUCCUUACCAGAUCGCCUGUCAAUCUUGGUCACCAGCUCAGCAAACUUGACAGCAAUGUGGGAGGUGUGGCAGUCAAGAACAGGGGCAUAACCAUUUCCGAUUUGUCCGGGGUGGUUCAUGAUGAUAACUUGGGAGGUGAAGUUGGCUGCUUCCUUGGCGGGAUCGUCCUUUGAGUUGGAAGCAACAUAACCACGCUUGAGAUCCUUGACAGCAACAUUCUUCACGUUAAACCCAACGUUGUCACCUGGAAGGGCCUCCUGGAGAGCCUCAUGGUGCAUCUCCACGGACUUAACUUCAGUGGUCAAUCCAGAGGGACCAAAAGUGACAACCAUCCCAGGCUUAAUUAAACCAGUCUCAACACGGCCGACAGGGACAGUUCCGAUACCACCAAUCUUGUACACGUCCUGAAGUGGGAGACGGAGGGGCUUGUCAGAUGGUCUCUUGGGCUCAUUAAUCUGGUCGAGGGCCUCGAGCAAUGUUGGACCCUUGUACCAGUCAAGGUUGGUAGACCUCUCAAUCAUGUUGUCUCCCUCGAAUCCGGAGAUGGGGACAAAUGGAAUCUUGUCAGGGUUAUAUCCCACCUUCUUCAGGUAAGAAGAGACUUCCUUAACAAUUUCAUCAUACCUAGCCUUGGAGUACUUGGGGGUGGUGGCAUCCAUCUGUCACAAUAGAUGCCAAGUUAGGUCGUCAAUCAACACACCCAGAUGAAACCAUCAACGGCAGUGUGGAACAUUAAAUAUUACCUUGUUACAGCAGCAAAUCAUUUGCCUGACACCGAGGGUGAAAGCAAGGAGAGCAUGUUCACGGGUCUGGCCAUCCUUGGAAAUACCAGCUUCAAAACCACCAGUGGUGGAAUCAAUGAUAAGGACAGCACAGUCGGCCUGGGAGGUUCCAGUAAUCAUAUUCUUAAUAAAGUCACGAUGUCCAGGAGCAUCAAUGACGGUGCAGUAGUACUUGGUGGUCUCGAACUUCCACAAGGCAAUAUCAAUGGUAAUACCACGCUCGCGCUCGGCCUUGAGCUUGUCAAGCACCCAAGCGUACUUGAACGAUCUCUUGUUCAUCUCAGCAGCUUCCUUCUCGAAUCUCUCAAUCACACGCUUGUCGAUACCUCCAAGCUUGUAAAUCAAGUGGCCAGUGGUAGUUGACUUGCCAGAGUCGACAUGGCCAAUGACCACAAUGUUGAUGUGAACCUUCUCCUUACCCAUUUCGAGAUAUGGGGCUUAAAGCUGCGAAAAGGAAGAAAAACGAUUCUCAGAUUGGAGAGAAAUUGGACAACGGGUAAAGAGAGAGGAAAGGAAAUACAGCAACAAAAUGAAAUAAAGUGGAUGCAAGAUAAAUGCGAAGAUACACCAUUUGUCAAGAUUUGUACAAGAAAAAUGCAUUGUAUUUGUAAGACAGCAAAUUCAGCCUCACAUAUCAACAUCCAUAUGGUCAAUUGAAAAUCACUGCACUCCCUAUUUUCCAUGACUCCUUCGUUAGAAUUCAAACGAUAAAAUGGGGAGUAAACGGGCUGGGAUGCUAUGCUAAUGAAAUCCACAGACUGUCAUCGACAACGAAAUGAAAACUAUCAUGAUGUCACCUCCAUCACCAGCGCAACGAAGCAUAUUUCGAAUAAGAAAAUUCAAAACGCAGUACAGACCAUAUCUGAACAAACUGGCUGUUCACAGGUUGGGAAGCCGAUUCCCAUUCAACAAGAACCGAUUGCAGCACAACAACCAUCGGACCAUCAGCACGCACUGCUCGGGCUAUAAUCGAUUCAUCGCACACCCCCGAAACACCCCGUCGAUCAUUCCCGGCGCCCACGCAAUACACUCCCUCAUCAGGAAAUUAAAAAGAAAAGAAAAGAAAAGAAAAAACGUAACGACGCCAUCGAAUCCUCCGAAUCGCACAGCAAUCAGACGCGGAUAGACUCGCGAAGCUCGAGCAGGACCGAUCAACCAGAAUCGGAAGCCGGCGACGAUCAUCGACUCCACACGACUCGCGCUACGCCAUCGGGAAAACGAAACUUCCGCCGGCAACGAUCGAUCAGACGACAGACGCAGAACGAAUCCCAGCCAAAAAAAAAAAAAAAAACAAACAAAACAAAAAAAGCACGUUCGGAAAGUCAACGUCGAGUCAGCACAGCCACACCAGUUCAAGCGAAGCAAAACGAACACCAUCGACGCCAAUCCAUCACGCGGUCGAACGGAACGCAUAGAGCAUGAGCAGAAGAAGCAACCAGAGGAGGAAGAAGACGAAAAACGACCUCACCUCGGAAAAUCUCGGCCGCCGAGAAUCUCGAAAACCAGUGAAUCAACCAGCGAAAGAGACGACGGGGAAAUGAAUGCGCGGGUGGCACGGUAGGGUUCUGAGGGCGCUCGCUUUUAUACCGCUUCCCACCCUCGCGACGCUCCGAUUCCGCAAUUGCCCCCGCUUCGAGCGCCUAAUUCCGAAAUUGCCCUCGGGCGUUUUCUCUUUGCUUGGGGAGCAAGGCAGUGGAGGCUCCCAGGAUGGGAAAAUGUCCCGACCUUUUUUGCUGGCGAUUAAAAUAUUACAGUUGGCGGAGGAACAACUUCUCGAAAACGAAUUCUUUUUUUUUUUCGUUUGGUUUGAGGUUUUUGUCUUUUUGUUCUUUUUGUUCUUUUUUCUUUUUUUGCAACAGAAAAAAAAAAUCGCAAAAGAGACGCGAUAAUGUGUCAAUGAAAUAAUUUGCGCAUCUUUCCGACGUGGAGAUGCUCUUCCACCGCCAUCCUUUCCAAAAGAUACUAAGAAAGAUAUAUUGACUAAGGGGAUACGACGUACAAACCAAUCGAAAUUUAUCCCUUUUUUCCGAAGUAGGCCGAAAUUGCACAAUAAUCGAACGGAGAUAUGAUAUCUGCCUUGCGUACCACGUUAGGAUCGUUUAUCAUUUGUGCUCGUUGAAAACUAUAACAAUAAAUUGGCGAGAGUAGUUGGGGACCAUUCAAAUAUCCAGAAGAGCCGAUUUUGUCAAAGUAGCAAUGUAAUGUGGGAAUUGAGUCAUGUGGACUUAGGGUGUUAAAUGGGUUGCAUAACCCAUUUAUAGACCUAUUUAUGGUUAAAUGGGUCAUUAAUGGGUCAAGCUUUCUGCUUUCUUUCAUAAAGCACCCAUAAUGGGUUUUAAUGAGUUUUAAUGGGUCAAGACUAAGAUAUAUGGAUUUUAAAUGGGUUAGAGAGUUGACCCAUUUAUGACCCAUUUAUCAACCCAUUAAAAAUGAACCUAUUAAUUUUCACUCAAAAUCCCACCAUCUCUCUCCUCUCUUUAACUUUACAAUUUUUUUUUUUUUAUAAAAACCGAAAUUAUAAUUAUUUUUUUUUCUUUCUUCUUCCUCCGGUCGCCGGCACGGCGAUGGCCGGCGACCGGCCAGGCGAGCCUCGCUGAUCUGGCGAGACUCGAACUCGCCGGCGUUGGGCGAGGGGCGAGCUCGAGCUCGCCAGAUCUGGCGAGGCGGAGGCCUCACCGACGUCCGGCGAGGCUCGAGCUUCGCCAGAUCCGGCGAGGGGCGAGCUCGAGCUCGCCCGACGCUGGCGAGGCUCGAGCUCGCCGGAUCUGGAGCCUCGCCGAUCUGGCGAGACUCCAGCUCGCCGACGUCGGGCGAGCUCGAGCUCGCCGGAUCUGGCGAGACUCGAGCUCGCCGGAUCUGGCGAGCCUCGAGCUCGCCGGCGUCGGCGAGCCGGGCGAGCUUGAGGCUCGCUUGUGGCCGGCCGCCGGCUGUCGUCGUGGCCGGCGGCUGACCAAAGAAGAAGAAGAAAAAAGAAAAAAAGAAAAAGAAAAAAAAAAUUAAAUAUUAUAUUCUUAAAAAUAAAAAUAAUUAAAAAAUUAAUUUUUAAAAAAUAAAAAAUAAUUAAAAUUCGAAAUUUUUUAAAAUAAUUAUUUUAAAAAUUAUAAAAAUUAUCAAUUAAAUUUGUGUUGUAUAAAACCAUUUUAGCAAUAUCAUUUUAAAAAUAUAUAUAUAAACUUUUUUAGGUUUCGUUAAAUGGGUCGGGUAUGGAUCGGGUACGGGUCGGGUCGGGUAUGGGUUAAAAAUUUUGCACUGUAAUAAAUGGGUCAUAAACGGGUUAAAUGGGUCGAUUUGGGUUGGACCAUUUAUGACCCGACCCAAACCCGACCUGACCCACCCGUUUAACGGGUCUAUGUGGACUAUAAUAGGGGAGGCGGAAGAAGUUGAAUUAGUAAGUUAUGUGCAAAUGUUGAAUGCUGAAAAAUAGCCGACGUGUUAUUUAUUGACAACCGGUGGACUCAAUCAAUGAGAAUAGAAUUUGGUCAAAACAAAAAAUCAUCGGCGAACAAGAUGAUAGGUGAAUUACGGACUUGUCGACAAGGAAGAAAAUCAACAAUGCGUAGUCUGAAAAUUGUCUAACUUCACCGAUGUUUAAGAGAAGUUGAUCAAUAAAGUUAUCAACACUAAAUAAUCCUAUUAUUUUGGUCAAGCGUUAAGGUUGUGAAAUUAAUGAACUCAAUGAAAGCAUGUGAACACAUCAAUCGAAGACAGACAAUGAAUCAACAUCAGCACAUGACUACUAUGUCAAUAUUCUGGAGAAUUGUAAAUUUUUUUAGGUAAUCAUUGUAAUCUUGUCAGGUGUUUAUAAUGCAUAUACGCUUAGAAAUUUAUUUACAGAUUCAAAAUCCAUAAUCAUACGUACUAACUGAUGUUAGUGGGAUAUAAAAAUCCAUGAUAUAAUCUUUGUCAUUAACACUCACACAAUCAAUGACGGCAUGCCUUUUCUUUUCUUUUUUGUGACUCAGGAAUCGCCGUACAGCUGGCAGCCGGCGGCAUAAACCCAGGGCGACCCGAGAGGAGACGACAUGCCUUUUUAUCUUUAGUUCCCUUGCAAAAUUUGCAUUUCUGGCAACCUUUUGAUUUCCAAUAUUAUUUACAUUUCUUGUGACCUUUUCUUUCCUAGUACCUACACUUAAAAUUCCUUUGCAUUUCGUACCAUAUUCCUUUCUUGUCAAAAUCAACAAAGAACGUUUUCUCACAAUCUGUCUUUCUCGAGUCAAAUUGCAAUCCAUCAUUUUUUCGAAAGACAGGGCGAUAAAGAAGAUCUAAUGAUAUUUUUAUUUAAAUUGAAAACUAUCAUUAGAUCUAAUGAGAAAAAAGAAGAAGAAAACGACAGGAAUAUACAGAAAUUUUAAGAGGGAAAAAACUGAAAAAUUUAGCGUGUACAUCAAAAUCAUUUUAUUUCGAUCAAAACUAUUUUUUUUGUUUUUAAAAAUUAUUUUGAAAUAAAACUCCGUUCGAUAACGUAAUUUUAUUUUUGUAUUUUUAGAGCAAAUUUUCAAUCUAGAAAUAAAUUUGGAACAUAAAUAAAAAGUAAAAAAAAAUUAUACUCUCUUUCUAAAAUAGAAAUGAGAAAUAAACAAUCUUUCCAUUACUCGUCCUCGCUACUAACUGUCCGCUCACCUAUCGCUAUUUGCAGCCAUCAGUCGUUGUCAGUCCUGGACCAUAUGUUGGUCGAUAGUCGCUCACUAUCUUCAGCAGCUACUGGUUCCUGGCCAUCCGUUGGUCACUAUUCGCUUGCCACAUUUAGUUAUCGCUUGUUGAGAGGGAGAAAUUUCUUAUCGUUAUCAUAUAAAUAUAUAUUUUAAGAAGAGAAAUUUUGUAUCGUCAUCAACUAUGUAUUUUUAAAUAAUAAAAAUAAUAGAAAUUAGGUCGAUUUUGAGUGUGACCCAUGCUUCCCCUUGCCAUUGGAUGACUUCGGACUUCGGUGGAGGAUUUUGCUAAAAGAUUUAAGGAGGGGGGGGGGGAGAUGGAGGGAAUUGUUCGCGAUGGAAUCAAAGCUUCUUUGACGGCCGCUCCUAAGUGAUUAUUCUGGCUCUUGGAUUUACUUUUCGAACGACGAAUUUGACCGCAAGCUAUCUGUGUCAGGCGGAGAGCCUCCGAGGAUUCUCCACAUGGACCGACUUUUUUUAUCUUUUAGUAUUGAGAAAAAUCUUCACAUUUCAUAAUUAUCUUCUGUCUAGAAAAACCAUUUUGCAGGAUGCACGUGGUCCUUUCAUCUCUGGUGAUCCCGAUAUGCCUAUUAUUGUCCUAGCACGCUUGUCUUAUUACGAGAUUACCCUUGGGCUCCGACUGUACAAGGAUAACUUCUAUAAGAAGCAAAAUAAGAUCAGCGUUCCGAAAAUAUCUCUUCCAUGUACACUAUUCCCACGACCUUCUGAAUACUUUUCCUUCUUCCUCGAAGCACGGUGCCGACAAAAGUUAAGAGUUAGAGCGUUAGCUCAAUAUAUUAAGCACGAUUUUAGAAAUAUGUUCUCCGUUCAUCACUCUGUAAAUCAUAAUUUCUGAAAUUCAAGAGUUUUAUGAUAUAGAUAAGUGAUUUUAAAAAACUAAAAAGAAGUCCCCUCGAAAGUUUUAAGAAAACAACCUUGUGUCGUUGGAUAGCAUUACUGUCUUGGGAACUAUUAAUUUUAUACCAUGGACCCCUCAAUGUGCUCUUCAUGCCCCUAAUAAUUCCAAGAAGCAUGCUAAACUCUCGUCAAGUAAUUACAACAAAUCGAGUUCAAGCAUGCUCACACUUCGAGCUAAUUUUGAGAUCGACUAUGUUUGCAUGAAACUAUAACUAUAUAUGGGCCAGAGUAGUUGAGGAAUAGUCAAGUACUUGAAAGAGCCGGUUAUGUCGAAGUAAUGAUGUUAGAGUUGAGUCAUAUGGCGUGGAAUAGGCGAGUUUGGAAGAAGCCGAAUUAGUGAGUCGUGCAAAUGUGGAGCACUAAAAAGUGGCCGACUCUCUAGUUAUUGACAAGUGUCAGAUUGACUGGUAAGAGCAGCAUUUGGUCAGAACGAAAGCCAUCGGUGAACAAGCCGAUGAAGAAAAUCAACAAAGCACAGUGCAAAAAUUAUCAAUGAAAGCCUUCGCAAGGCUUAAGAGAAGAUGAUCGACAAACUCAUCAAUACUAAACUCCCGUUAAGUAAUUACGACAAAUUUGAAUGGAAGCGUACUCACGGCUCGAGCAACUUCUGAGAUUGACGGAACCAUUUCCGAAACACGCGGGGCAUUUUGAUCUAAGGACUACCAGGUCCUGUAGCCAAAAAUCUCUAGUCCAAUUCGAUUUAAGAAUACGAUCAUUUUUAACUCCUUGUCGGUGGCCUCAUUCAAGAAUUUCGGGAACUGACAUUUCGUCGUCUCUUGUCCAAUUCGAUUUAAGAAUACGAUCAUUUUCACUCAUUGUCGGCGGCCUCAAUCAAGAAUUUCGGGAACUGACAUUUCGUCGGUAACUCCUUUCGAGUUUAUAAGCUAGUCCACAAUAGUGUUAUACCAAAUAUUUUCUUAAUAGGUAAAAAAGUACUGAGUUUUAUGCAGUGGAGAACCAAUUAAUUCUCAUCAUUACCACAGUAAUCUUGAAAAUCGGUCGUCAUCGAAGAUGAUUAUACAUGGUUCAGCUGCUCUUGUUAUGCUACGCGCGAUCAGGACGUGCCUUAUUGCUUUUUCAACAGCAAGACCAAUUGAUAAUAUACCAUGCAAAGGGGGCAUAAUACGAAGGCCUGAACUGCAUUGAAAAAUGACCAAUAGUAGACUCUCAGCUGGUACGGAAAGAAAGCAAAGACAGUACAAAUGCCAGUGCACAAACGCAAGACUCAAAAUUGACUCGAGCUGGCGACCCCAAUCUGCCACCGCCUAUCGAGCACCCAGUUCUGCAACCACGUGCUCGAUGAGGACAGGAACAUGAGAUGGUGAUAACCAGCGCACCAAACCCCUAAAUGACCGAUAGACAGACAGCUGACAAUGACCAACGCCUUAUUGCAAUGACUCCCAUGUGAUACGAUGUCGAAUCUCAACCGCACGAUUCACUUGCCCUUCUUGGCAGCAGACUUGGUGACCUUGGCACCACUAGGAUCCUUCUUCUCGACACUCUUGAUGACACCAACGGCGACGGUCUGGCGCAUGUCCCUCACAGCAAAACGACCGAGGGGAGGAUACUCAGAGAAGGUCUCGACAACCAUGGGCUUGGUGGGAAUCAUCUUGACCAUUCCAGCAUCACCGUUCUUCAAGAACUUGGGCUCCUUCUCAAUCUCCUUACCUGAUCGCCUGUCGAUCUUGGUCACCAGCUCAGAAAACUUGACUGCAAUAUGGGAGGUGUGACAGUCAAGAACAGGGGCAUAUCCAUUUCCAAUCUGGCCAGGGUGAUUCAUGAUAAUAACUUGGGAGGUAAAGUUGGCUGCUUCCUUGGCGGGAUCGUCCUUCGAGUUGGAUGCAACGUAGCCACGCUUGAGAUCCUUGACAGCAACAUUCUUCACGUUAAACCCAACGUUGUCACCUGGAAGAGCCUCCUGGAGAGCCUCAUGGUGCAUCUCCACGGACUUAACUUCAGUGGUCAACCCAGAGGGACCAAAAGUGACAACCAUCCCAGGCUUAAUGACACCAGUCUCAACACGGCCGACAGGGACAGUUCCGAUACCACCAAUCUUGUACACGUCCUGAAGUGGGAGACGGAGGGGCUUGUCAGAUGGUCUCUUGGGCUCAUUAAUCUGGUCGAGGGCGUCGAGCAAUGUUGGACCCUUGUACCAGUCAAGGUUGGUAGACCUCUCAAUCAUGUUGUCUCCCUCGAAUCCGGAGAUGGGGACAAAUGGAAUCUUGUCAGGGUUAUAUCCCACCUUCUUCAGGUAAGAAGAGACUUCCUUAACAAUUUCAUCAUACCUAGCCUUGGAGUACUUGGGGGUGGUGGCAUCCAUCUGUCAUCAAAGAAUUAUAAGCUAAUUGUAAAUCAACACACACACAGCAAUAUACUAACAGCAACCUAGAAUAAACAGC
Molecule: long non-coding RNA, 15087 nt
Filed under: Eucalyptus grandis
Lineage: Eukaryota; Viridiplantae; Streptophyta; Magnoliopsida; Myrtales; Myrtaceae
Description: long non-coding RNA (EGRA_LNC005898)
Source: RNAcentral